CUCUCCAUAAGGGUGAAAUAAUGAGGUCUC
RNAcentral lists this non-coding RNA (30 nucleotides) under Rattus norvegicus (Norway rat). Lineage: Eukaryota; Metazoa; Chordata; Mammalia; Rodentia; Muridae. The record is from RNAcentral.